RNAcentral lists this small nucleolar RNA (201 nucleotides) under Oryzias sinensis (Chinese medaka). Its description in RNAcentral is "Small nucleolar RNA U3 (ENSOSIG00000012383.1)". It matches the Rfam family "Small nucleolar RNA U3". Rfam says of the family: Small nucleolar RNAs (snoRNAs) are involved in the processing and modification of rRNA in the nucleolus. Lineage: Eukaryota; Metazoa; Chordata; Actinopteri; Beloniformes; Adrianichthyidae. The record is from Rfam by way of RNAcentral.
AAGACUACUUUCAGGGAUCAUUUCUUUAGUCUGGAACUAGAGGAUUGUGUUUCUACAGAGGUUGGUCUGGCUGUCCAUGAUGAUGAUGAUGAUGUUUCCUUCAGAGCAGGAAGCUGGUGAGAAGAUGAGAAUCUUCUUCACUGAUGAAGACUGUUCAGUGUUUCUGGAUGUGACACCGAAGGAGGAAACAUUGUCUGAGUG